Molecule: ribosomal RNA, 253 nt
Filed under: uncultured bacterium
Lineage: Bacteria
Description: partial 16S ribosomal RNA
Rfam family: Bacterial small subunit ribosomal RNA
Source: RNAcentral
UACGUAGGGUGCAAGCGUUGUCCGGAAUUAUUGGGCGUAAAGGGCUCGUAGGCGGUUUGUCACGUCGGGAGUGAAAACUCAGGGCUUAACUCUGAGCCUGCUUCCGAUACGGGCAGACUAGAGGUAUGCAGGGGAGAAUGGAAUUCCUGGUGUAGCGGUGAAAUGCGCAGAUAUCAGGAGGAACACCGGUGGCGAAGGCGGUUCUCUGGGCAUUACCUGACGCUGAGGAGCGAAAGUGUGGGGAGCGAACAGG